GACAGAGGGUGCAAACGUUGUCCGGAUUUACUGGGCGUAAAGAGCGCGCAGGCGGUCGUUCAAGUCGCGUGUGAAAGCCCCCGGCUCAACUGGGGAGGGUCACGCGAUACUGAUCGACUCGAAGGCAGGAGAGGGUAGUGGAAUUCCCGGUGUAGUGGUGAAAUGCGUAGAUAUCGGGAGGAACACCAGUGGCGAAGGCGACUACCUGGCCUGUUCUUGACGCUGAGGCGCGAAAGCUAGGGGAGCAAACGGG
This 253-nucleotide ribosomal RNA is filed under the name uncultured bacterium. RNAcentral's name for it is "partial 16S ribosomal RNA". It matches the Rfam family "Bacterial small subunit ribosomal RNA", at positions 524 to 776 of the family's 1533-position model. The record is from RNAcentral.